UAGUUAUUUAGUUUAAUUAAAAUAUUUAUUUUGAAAAUAAGAGAUUAGGAUACCCUGUUAACUAA
RNAcentral lists this transfer RNA (65 nucleotides) under Heterometrus longimanus. RNAcentral's name for it is "tRNA-Ser". Lineage: Eukaryota; Metazoa; Arthropoda; Arachnida; Scorpiones; Scorpionidae. The record is from RNAcentral.